CAACCAGAAAGCCACGGCUAACUACGUGCCAGCAGCCGCGGUAAUACGUAGGUGGCAAGCGUUGUCCGGAUUUAUUGGGCGUAAAGCGAGCGCAGGCGGUUUUUUAGGUCUGAUGUGAAAGCCUUCGGCUUAACCGGAGAAGUGCAUCGGAAACCGGGAGACUUGAGUGCAGAAGAGGACAGUGGAACUCCAUGUGUAGCGGUGAAAUGCGUAGAUAUAUGGAAGAACACCAGUGGCGAAGGCGGCUGUCUGGUCUGCAACUGACGCUGAGGCUCGAAAGCAUGGGUAGCGAACAGGAUUAGAUACCCUGGUAGUCCAUGCCGUAAACGAUGAGUGCUAAGUGUUGGAGGGUUUCCGCCCUUCAGUGCUGCAGCUAACGCAUUAAGCACUCCGCCUGGGGAGUACGACCGCAAGGUUGAAACUCAAAGGAAUUGACGGGGGCCCGCACAAGCGGUGGAGCAUGUGGUUUAAUUCGAUGCUACGCGAAGAACCUUACCAGGUCUUGACAUCUUCUGCUAACCUAAGAGAUUAGGCGUUCCCUUCGGGGACGGAAUGACAGGUGGUGCAUGGUUGUCGUCAGCUCGUGUCGUGAGAUGUUGGGUUAAGUCCCGCAACGAGCGCAACCCUUAUUGUCAGUUGCCAGCAUUUAGUUGGGCACUCUGGCGAGACUGCCGGUGACAAACCGGAGGAAGGUGGGGAUGACGUCAAAUCAUCAUGCCCCUUAUGACCUGGGCUACACACGUGCUACAAUGGACGGUACAACGAGUCGCGAAACCGCGAGGUCAAGCUAAUCUCUGAAAGCCGUUCUCAGUUCGGAUUGCAGGCUGCAACUCGCCUGCAUGAAGUUGGAAUCGCUAGUAAUCGUGGGUCAGCAUGCCACGGUGAAUACGUUCCCGGGCCUUGUACACACCGCCCGUCACACCAUGAGAGUUUGUAACACCCAAAGCCGGUGAGGUAACCUUCGGGGGCCAGCCGUCUAAGGUGGGACAGAUGAUUAGGGUGAAGUCGUAACAAGGUAGCCGUAGGAGAACCUGCGGCUGGAUCACCUCCUUUCUAA
This 1057-nucleotide ribosomal RNA is filed under the name uncultured bacterium. Its description in RNAcentral is "bacterial SSU rRNA". It matches the Rfam family "Bacterial small subunit ribosomal RNA", at positions 480 to 1533 of the family's 1533-position model. The record is from RNAcentral.